GAUGAACGCUGGCGGCGUGCCUAACACAUGCAAGUCGAGCGAACGGACGAGACGCUUGCUUCUCUGUUGUUAGCGGAGGACGGGUGUGUAACAUGUGUAUAACCUACCUGUAAGACUGGGAUAACUUCGGAACACCGGAGCUAAUAGCGGAUAAUAUUUUGCACCGCGUGGUUCAAUAGUGAAAGACGGUGUUGCUGGCACUUAUAGAUGGAUCCGCGCUGCAUUGGCUAGUUGGUAGGGUAACGGGUUACGACGGCAAGGAUGCAUAACCGACCUGAGAGGCGGAUCGCCGGCACUGGAGCGUGGACAGGGACCAGACUCCUGCGGGAGGGAGCAGUCGGGAACCGGACGCAGUGGGCGAAAGUCUGACGGAGCAACGCCGCGCGAGUGAUGAAGGCCUUCGGAUCGGAAAAAUGUGUUAUGAGUGAAGAACAGAUGUGUCAGUAACCGUGGACAUCGUGACGGUACCUAGUAAAAAAGCCACGGCUAACUACGUG
This 497-nucleotide ribosomal RNA is filed under the name uncultured bacterium. Its description in RNAcentral is "partial 16S ribosomal RNA". It matches the Rfam family "Bacterial small subunit ribosomal RNA", at positions 28 to 507 of the family's 1533-position model. The record is from RNAcentral.